Molecule: ribosomal RNA, 1092 nt
Filed under: Triticum aestivum (bread wheat)
Lineage: Eukaryota; Viridiplantae; Streptophyta; Magnoliopsida; Poales; Poaceae
Description: partial small subunit ribosomal RNA
Source: RNAcentral
AUGAUGAAAAGAAGCCACACGACCGUCCUCGACGACCUGCCCGAGUGGAUUGUGAUCGAAGAGAUCCUCGUCUGGUUGCCCCCCAAGGACCUCUUUCGCUGUCGUGCUGUCUGCAAGUUCUGGCGCAGUGCCACCUCCACCGACAAGUUCAUGCUUGACAAUUGCCACCGCCAGCCAUCGCUCCCUGUCAUCAGACAGGAUAUCCCUGGACAGAAAGGAGUCAGGUUCGUUGUCUUCCGUGACAAAAGUGUCGGAGCCGAUCAAAAGCUCUGUCCAAUCAUCCAACACUCUAAGUUCCAUAAUCUCCUGGGCGCCUGUGAUGGCUUUCUCAUCUUGUCCAGUGAGUCUGAUUUCUGGAUCUGCAACCCGGCCACUCGCAAAUGCGCUAUACUACCGCAACCUCGGGUUCCAUCAUCAUCGGCAGGGGUUUCCCGCAUCUACAUAGCCGGAUUCUACCAGCACCAACCAUCUGGGGAAUACCGGGUGCUCUGGUUCUCACGUGGCUGCCUUCGUGGCUACAUUCUCAGGUUUGGAUCCGACAAGCCGAGAAUCAUCAGUCGGCCAUCUGUGUUAUCGCGUUUGCCGGAAUUCUGGCACCAAGGGGAAUUUGAUUCCUGCUAUAGUUCACAAGUCAACCACCGAGGCAGCCUGCACUGGUUAACAGGAAUCUACAUGGAGACUGCCGUGGACAUUAUGGUGUUUGACACAGUUACUGAGACAUUCCGGUGGAUGCGCAGUCCUGGCUGGUUGGGCCGUCGGGUGUCGUUGUUGGAGAUGGACAACAAGCUUGCUUCAUGCAUCAACAAUGAUGCCAGCAUAGAGAUUUGGGUGAUGCAAGACUAUGAGGUUGAGGCUUGGGCCUUGAAAUACCGGAUUAACUUGUUAGCGAUGAAGACAUCACCACAGUUCGAGUAUAUUUCUAAGAUGUCACUGCUUAACCAGCGUGAGCUGCUGAUCUGUUGUCACAAUCCAUUGGACGGUCCUGACUAUCUUUUGCACUGUGACAUUGACGGAAAGUUUUGGGAUAUCACGAAAUUAAAGGGGGAACGUAUUCUGUAUACUUCACUAAUCAGUACUUUCAGGAGAGCAUGA